Molecule: transfer-messenger RNA, 211 nt
Filed under: Bradyrhizobium elkanii USDA 61
Lineage: Bacteria; Pseudomonadati; Pseudomonadota; Alphaproteobacteria; Hyphomicrobiales; Nitrobacteraceae
Description: tmRNA_coding_RNA
Rfam family: Alphaproteobacteria transfer-messenger RNA
About the family: Bacterial tmRNA, also known as 10Sa RNA or SsrA, is named for its dual tRNA and mRNA-like properties. Its role is to liberate the mRNA from a stalled ribosome.
Source: RNAcentral
GGGGGCGAAAUAGGAUCGACGAGGGCGUAAAGGGCGUGUUUUUUCUCGGUAUGGUUCCGCCGACAUCGGGCCAAUGCAAUAGUUGCCAACGACAACUUUGCUCCGGUUGCUCAGGCUGCGUAACGCAGUUUGAAAGACCAUCUUAAAGUCCUAGCGGGUUAAGCUCCGCUAGGCGGGGUUCGGAGGCACCUGGCAACAGAAGCCUCCACUU